RNAcentral lists this ribosomal RNA (493 nucleotides) under uncultured bacterium. RNAcentral describes it as "partial 16S ribosomal RNA". It matches the Rfam family "Bacterial small subunit ribosomal RNA", at positions 30 to 507 of the family's 1533-position model. The record is from RNAcentral.
AUUGAACGCUGGCGGCAUGCUUUACACAUGCAAGUCGAACGGCAACGCGGAGAAGCUUGCUUCUCUGUCGGCGAGUGGCGAACGGGUGAGUAUAGCAUCGGAACGUGCCAAGUAGUGGGGGAUAACCAAACGAAAGUUUGGCUAAUACCGCGUAAGCUCCAAGGAGGAAAGUAGGGGACCUAAAUAAGGCCUUACGCUAUUUGAUCGGCCGAUGUCGGAUUAGCUAGUUGGUGGGGUAAUGGCUCACCAAGGCAAUGAUCCGUAGCGGGUCUGAAAGGACGAUCCGCCACACUGGGACUGAGACACGGCCCAGACUCCUACGGGAGGCAGCAGUGGGGAAUUUUGGACAAUGGGGGAAACCCUGAUCCAGCCAUGCCGCGUGUAUGAAGAAGGCCUUAGGGUUGUAAAGUACUUUUGUUAGGGAAGAAAAGCUAGUUUUUAAUAAAAAUUAGUGAUGACGGUACCUAAAGAAUAAGCACCGGCUAACUACGUG